GAUGAACGCUGGCGGCGUGCUUAACACAUGCAAGUCGAACGAAGCAUUUAAGACAGAUUACUUCGGUUUGAAGUCUUUUAUGACUGAGUGGCGGACGGGUGAGUAACGCGUGGGUAACCUGCCUCAUACAGGGGGAUAGCAGCUGGAAACGGCUGGUAAUACCGCAUAAGCGCACAGUACCACAUGGUACAGUGUGAAAAACUCCGGUGGUAUGAGAUGGACCCGCGUCUGAUUAGCUUGUUGGCGGGGUAACGGCCCACCAAGGCGACGAUCAGUAGCCGACCUGAGAGGGUGACCGGCCACAUUGGGACUGAGACACGGCCCAGACUCCUACGGGAAGCAGCAGUGGGGAAUAUUGCACAAUGGAGGAAACUCUGAUGCAGCGACGCCGCGUGAGUGAAGAAGUAGUUCGCUAUGUAAAGCUCUAUCAGCAGGGAAGAUAGUGACGGUACCUGACUAAGAAGCGCCGGCUAAAUACGUG
This 481-nucleotide ribosomal RNA is filed under the name uncultured bacterium. RNAcentral's name for it is "partial 16S ribosomal RNA". It matches the Rfam family "Bacterial small subunit ribosomal RNA", at positions 28 to 507 of the family's 1533-position model. The record is from RNAcentral.